AGAACUAUCGAUAACCAGUUAGAUAAAUUAAAUAAUUUUCAAAAAUCGUAAUAUGGUCACAUCGCCACGUGCAUUCUUUCACUUCUUUUUUUCACUCAAAAUGGACGGUCGAGUUUUCUGCUUUGAUUCUCAACUAAAAUUUAACAUAAAGGAUGAUGUGCGGUAGCAGGAACAAUCUCUGAAAAUAGCAAUGGAAAAGAACAAUUUUCAUGGUUUUCUACCAAAUUUGUCAACACGUGUCCAAAAGUAAGAGAUUCCAUUUGAAAGUGGAUUAAAAUGCACAUGGCUUACGAGAAGAUGGACGGAAGCAAAAUAAAAUGAGCAGAAAUAAGUGCUCCACGAAUGCCUGAGAAAUGGAAAAGUUUAGAAAAUGGUUAACAAAAAUCAUGAUUAUUUCCAAAUGACCGAAAUAUGCAAUCCACUAAAACUUCUGGAUCUCUUCUGAGAACAAUGGCUACCAAUGGAAACCAGAAAUGAAAUUCGGAAUUAUAAGAAAUAUCUUUAGAAUUUCACUAGUGGUAUUGCACUAGAAAUCGUUUUCCGGCUAUGUAGUUUGACGAUAUCUGCGCACAAAAUCAAUCAAGCCAUGAAGGAAUUUAGGUGAUUAGAAAGAUUCGCAUAGAUGGAAAAACUCCAAAUUAUACCCAGUGGAGGAUGGCUUGGAAACUUUUAAGAUAUUCACACUUUCUGAAGAACACAAAAAUCCAUUGAUUUUCAGUACAAGAUAUUCACAAUUUCUGAAGGACACAAAUAGGAAUUGAUUUUUAGUACAAGGUAUGCUUUU
Molecule: long non-coding RNA, 784 nt
Organism: Drosophila teissieri
Lineage: Eukaryota; Metazoa; Arthropoda; Insecta; Diptera; Drosophilidae
Exons: 11
Source: RefSeq, a predicted model, not a curated record